UGGGGAAUCUUGCGCAAUGGGCGAAAGCCUGACGCAGCAACGCCGCGUGAACGAAGAAGGCCUUCGGGUCGUAAAGUUCUGUCAAGGGGGACGAUAAUGACGGUACCCCUGGAGGAAGCCCCGGCUAACUACGUGCCAGCAGCCGCGGUAAUACGUAGGGGGCGAGCGUUGUCCGGAAUUAUUGGGCGUAAAGGGCGUGUAGGCGGCCGAUCAAGUCAGGUGUGAAAUGCCGGGGCUCAACCCUGGAGGUGCACUUGAAACUGGUUGGCUUGAGUGCAGAAGAGGAAAGUGGAAUUCCCAGUGUAGCGGUGAAAUGCGUAGAUAUUGGGAGGAACACCAGUGGCGAAGGCGACUUUCUGGUCUGUAACUGACGCUGAGGCGCGAAAGCUAGGGGAGCAAA
RNAcentral lists this ribosomal RNA (400 nucleotides) under uncultured bacterium. RNAcentral's name for it is "bacterial SSU rRNA". It matches the Rfam family "Bacterial small subunit ribosomal RNA", at positions 355 to 772 of the family's 1533-position model. The record is from RNAcentral.